This is a long non-coding RNA of Eriocheir sinensis (Chinese mitten crab), 4622 nucleotides long. RefSeq lists it as uncharacterized. The record is from RefSeq and is a predicted model, not a curated record. The transcript has 2 exons. NCBI's taxonomy places the organism in Eukaryota, Metazoa, Arthropoda, Malacostraca, Decapoda, Varunidae.
UAGGUUAGGUUAGGUUAGGUUAGGGUAAGGCAGGUUAGGUUUCCCUCUCUCUUUGGGGCUUAAGUAAUAGACACAUAUUCUCAAACACUUAAAGGCUCACACAUAGGAAUUUGAUAAUAUAAGUAUACAUAGGUUAGGUUAGGUUAGGUUAGGGUAGGGCAGGUUAGGUUUCCCUCUCUCUUUGGGGCUUAAGUAAUAGACACAUAUUCUCAAUCACUAAAGGGCUCACACAUACGAAGUUGGUCAUUCAUUUCUAGAACUUGUGGGGACUUACAUUGGUAGUUGUAUGAGUCAAGUAAUAGUUUGUCAAGACGUCUGCAUCAUGAACGCAAAAAAAACACUCACGAGAACCCGACUAACCUCCCCGGUGACCUUUAUAAAUAGUUGUGAUGGCCGGGAGCGUCUAUGAAUACGGGCUUAGUCUCGGCAGUGGUGUAUGAUUCUCUGUUGCAUACGUCAGUCGGCAGUGCAGCGUCGGGAUAAUUGGUUAACGCGCUAAACUAAUGAUAUAACUGACCUCGCUCACGACCAAACGACAUGAACGCCGAGAAUAGAAGUGCAGUAAUAGGAUGAAUGGACUCGUUGCCAAUUGUUAUUAUAUACGAAGAAGAAGAAGAAAAAUCGAUUGAGCCUUCAGAGUGAGUUCAUAGAGUUGACUUAUUUUCUUUUAUCGACCGCCUUCUUCUUCUUCCCGUCUUCCUCCUCCUCUCCUUCUUAUCUCCUUCCUCCAGCCACCCUCUCCCUCCGAAGUGUUUCCCUCCAUCACUCCAAUUCUGAAUGAGACUUCUCCUCCUCCUCCUUCUCCUCCUCCUCUUCCUCCUCAACCACUUCAUGCUUUUAGACCUUCUUCUCCACCCUCUCCUCCUCCUCCUUUUCCUUUUCCCUCUCCUCCUUCCUCGUUCUUCAUUUCCUCAUCCUUCCUCUUCCUUCUAGAUUGCUUUGUUUUGUUUCUUUCUCCAUUGCUACUGUUCUUCUACCUCUCUCUCUUUCCUCCUCCUUUUCCUUCUCUUCUUUCUUAUUCAUCUCCUCUUCCUCUUCCUCCUCUUUCUUCUCCUUCAUUUCCUCUUUCUUCCUCUUCCUUCUAGAUCCCCUUUUUAUGUUUCUAAACUUACUACUCUUCUUGAAACUCUCUCCCUUUCCUCCUCCUCCUCUUCCUCCUCCUUCUUCCUUCUCCAUUUCCUCCUCCUUCCUUUUCCUUCAAGAUCCCUCACUUUUUUUCUUCUCUCUCUAGAUUUGCUCCUUUUCCUACACCUCUCUCUCUUUCCUCCUCCUUCUUCCUUGUCCAUUUCCUCAUCCUUCUUUUCCCUUCAAGAUCCCUCACUUUUUUCUUCUCUCUCUAGGUUUGCUCCUUUUCCUACACCUCUCUCUCUUUCCUCCUCCUCCUUCUUCUCCUCCUCCUGCCCCCCUCCCCUCCCCCCCGCCUUCGUUCACUUCUCAAGGCCAGUGGAAGCAAAUGCAAACUUGAGUCGACUCGGUUCGGUCAACAUCCCGGCAAAGUGUCGGGGCCGAGGGAAUGAGCGUGAGACUCAUUUACAUAUUUUCAGCGUUGCAGGCACGUCACCUUCUGGAGGAGGAGGAGGAGGAGGAGGAGGAGGGAGGAGGAGGAGGAGGUGUAGCAAUAGAAGGAAAGGUGUAGUUUCAGAAAUUGAGGAAGUCUAGGAGGAGGAGGAGGAGGAGGUGAACGAGGAGGAAGAGGAAGAAGAAGAGGAGGAGGAGGAGGAGGAAGAGGAAGAGGAGGCGAGGGAGAGGUGUAGGUGAAGUAAGUGAGGAAGGCUAUGAGAAGAAGGAGGAGGAGGAGGAAGAAAAGGAUGAGAAAGCGAGGGAAAAGGAGAGUAUUUAAGCUCUAGACAAUCCAUAACCUAUCUAUCUACCUAUUUAUCUGUCUAUCUAUCUGUCUAUUAAUUUAGGAAGAGAGGGAAGUAUCGAAGUCUUCCCAUCAUGGCGUCCUUUCUUUCCCUUGUUUUUGCUCUUUUCUGCUCCUAUUUACUCUUCAUUCUCUUAAGUGGCGUCAGAAAUCAUUAAUUACUUGUCUGUCUCCUUCUCUCUCCCUCUUCUCUCUCUCCUUUUAAAAGCCUCGUUGUUAUGUGUUUUCUUUUCCCUUCGAAGUUUCCUUUUAAUUCCUUCUUCGGCUGCUUUUCCUUCUUUUUAUUUACUUUCAUUCCUUCCCUUCGAUAUCUUAAAAGUGUUGCUAGAAGAAAUUAUUUAACUCUCACUUUCUCUCUCUCUCUCUCUCUCUCUCUCUCUCUCUCUCUCUCUCUCUCUCUCUCUCUCUCUCUCUCUCUCUCUCUCUCUCUCUCUCUCUCUCUCUCUCUCUCUCUCUCUCUCUCUCUCUCUCUCUCUCGAAUGUUUGUCUUCCAAGUUUCUCCCAUGACAGUUUCUCUUCCUCCCUCUCUCGGCCUCUCCUCUUUUUCUCCUCCUUUUUUUUCUCUCUCCCGUCUCUCGAUCUCCUAAGUGUUGCCAGAACGAAUUAGUUUCUCUCUCUCUCUCUCUCUCUCUCUCUCUCUCUCUCUCUCUCUCUCUCUCUCUCUCUCUCUCUCUCUCUCUCUCUCUCUCUCUCUCUCUCUCUCUCUCUCUCUCUCUCUCGAAGCUCAAUUAGUUCGCGUAAAGUAUUGAUUCACUUAGAGUUUGACAAUUUCUUUUAUAUUUGAGUUCGAUGUUGCUUUACUUUUUCCAUUUUUGCUUUGUUUUUAUUUUUGAACAAACGUAACUUUAUUUCUUGUUUGUUUUUCUCUUCCUUUCAUGCGUAAGAUAUAUUAUUUUGAGUUUGAUUUUAGUUUGAUUUUUUGGUCUGUCCUUUUUAUUUCAAUUUUCAAAACAUGCAACAUAUAUAUUUUUUUCGUUUUUCUCUUCCUUUUCUGCCUAUUAUGUACUAUUUUCCUUAUUUCACACUUACAUUAUGGGAGUAUCAAAUUGACUUCUCUUUCGGCAACUCCUCUAAGCUUUUUAUUUUAUGCAGGAGCAGUGCUUAGCGGACUUGUUUCGGCUUAAUUUUUUCCCUUUGAAACGCUUCCUUUGCUGAAAAAAAAAGCAUGCUCAUUUCUUCUCUCAUUUAGUAUUUAGUAUUUGCAGUUAAGGCUUUCAUAUUAUCCUCCUACUGCAUAAUUGGUGGACAUUAAGUAUUUAUCUAAGCCAAAAAUUUUACGGUCCUAGCUUAUUUUCCAUUUUCGUAGACCUUAUCCGAUUUCUUAUUCCUCAUUUUUUAUAUUUUUCCUUCCCUGUGAUCUUGUUUUCAUAUCAUCCUACUGCAUAAUUUCUUCUCAUUGAAUAUUCAUCAAGUUUUGCAUUAUAUCUUUCUUUUUUCAUACACUUCAUCAGAUUUCUUAUUUCUUUUUUUAUCUUUUCCCCUGAUAGCAUUUUCUCAUCAUCGUUUUUGUAUAUUUUCUAACUUUUCAUUAUUUUUCCUUUAUACGAUUUUUUUUAUUAUUUCAUCACCUGCAUUUUUCCUUUACUUCUUCCUUUCGCAUUUGCCUUUACUUUAUGUUCAAUUUUCCACCUGAUUAUAUUUUCUUCUUACACUUUCUACCUACCUGCUUUCCCUUCUUUUUCUUUUCAUCUUCCUUCCCUUUUUCUCCGUUUCCACCUUCCUUCCUUCUUUUUCAAUCUUUCCCUCCUUCCUCCUUCUUUUUCACAUUGCACCUUCUUUUCCUUUUUUCAAUUUUCAUCUUUAUUCCCUUAUUUUGUUUUUAAUUUCCACUUGCUUUCCCUUCUCUUCAAUAUGGACCUUCUCUUCCUUUGUUUUUCUAUUUCCAUCAUCUUAAUUUUUCUGUUUCCACUUGCUUUCCUCUCUCAAUUUGCACCUUCUCCUCCUCCUCCUCCUUUUUCAAUAUUCACCUUAUUUUCCCUCUUUUCAAUAUCCACUUGCUCACCUUUCUUUUUUAUUUCCACCCGUUUUCCGUAAUUUUUCUGUUUCUACUUCCUUUCCCUUCGUUUUUCAAUUUUCACCUUCUAUCCCUUCCUUUUUCAAUUUUCACCUUAUUUUCCCUCUUUUCAAUAUCCACUUGCUCUCCUUUCUUUCUUUUUUAUUCCACCCGUUUUCCGUAAUUUUUCUGUUUCCACUUCCAUUCCCUUCGUUUUUCAAUCUUCAUCUUCAUUUCCUUCCUUUUUCAAUUUCCACCUGCUCUCCCUUCGUUUUUUUAUCCUCACCUGUUAUCCUUCCUGCUUCUCUUUCGCUGCCUGUCUGGAAAAUCGUGUUCCAUCCCUUUAACUGACAUGGCUUCUCGGGGCUCUUAAAGUAUCACAACGACCUCCUUCUCCUCCUCCUCCUCCUUCACUUGCUUGCUGAUCUUUCGCGUCCAUCUCCUUCUCCUCUUUCAUGCUAUCAUCCUCAACAACUAUUUUAUUAUUCUCUUUACAUCGCCUUUUUAUUAUGUUUUGCCUUCGUUGGACUGCUUUUUUCUUUUUCUUCUUUUUUCUUUUUUCUCCUUUCUCUCAACUAUACAAUUCUUUUCUCUAUAUCGUUUUCCUUUUCAACAUCUUAUUAUACGUCCGUUGUGUUUCUUCUUGCUCUUUUUCUUCUGUUUUCUUUCUCCAUUUCUCCUUUUUUAUCCUUCUUUUGUCAUCUCGUGAAAGUCUAUCUUCUUUGUAUCGUUUUAAUAUCGUAUCAGCUCCGUUUCUCUUUUCUU